AUGGCUGGUCCGGCCAAGGCGUCGUGGAUGGUGGCCAUGAGCGUGGGCGCGGUGGAGGCCCUCAAGGACCAGGCUGGCCUCUGCCGCUGGAACUAUGCGCUCAGGUCCAUCCACCGAACAGCCAAGGCCAAAGCCAGUGUCCGCGGCGGCGUCUCGCAUGGCAAGAAGCAGCUUCCAACCUCUGCGGCCGCCGUGGCGGGGAGGUGGCAAGCAGAGAAGUCUGAAGAGGGGCUGAGGACGGUCAUGUACCUCAGUUGCUGGGGGCCAAAUUAG
RNAcentral lists this ribosomal RNA (273 nucleotides) under Triticum aestivum (bread wheat). RNAcentral describes it as "partial small subunit ribosomal RNA". The record is from RNAcentral. Lineage: Eukaryota; Viridiplantae; Streptophyta; Magnoliopsida; Poales; Poaceae.